CAGCAGCCGCGGUAAUGCAGAGGGUGCAAGCGUUAAUCAGAAUUACUGGGCGUAAAGCGUGCGCAGGCGGUUUGUUAAGACGGAUGUGAAAUCCCCGGGCUCAACCUGGGAACUGCAUUCGUGACUGGCAAGCUAGAGUAUGGCAGAGGGGGGUGGAAUUCCACGUGUAGCAGUGAAAUGCGUAGAGAUGUGGAGGAACACCGAUGGCGAAGGCAGCCCCCUGGGCCAAUACUGACGCUCAUGCACGAAAGCGUGGGGAGCAAACAGGAUUAGAGACCCGCGUAGUCCCUGUCUCUUAUAC
This 301-nucleotide ribosomal RNA is filed under the name uncultured bacterium. RNAcentral describes it as "partial 16S ribosomal RNA". It matches the Rfam family "Bacterial small subunit ribosomal RNA", at positions 509 to 807 of the family's 1533-position model. The record is from RNAcentral.